UUCUUGCAAAUGGAUCCAAAAAGAAUGAAGUUUCUGAGGAACAUGCUUCAACUUCUACAUCCAGUUGCCACAUGGAACUUUGGAAGUGAACAUUAUAUUACAUAUAUAUAGUUACUUUGAUGAUGAAUGAUGAUGCAUAAUAUAUAGUAUUUGGAAGAAGAAGAAGAAGAAAAAAAAGGACUUAUAUUGCUCCUAAGUUGUUGGUGUACAUAAUAAAACUCAUCCCAUCACAUAUAUUUUUAUAUCUUAUAGUUCUGUUCAUAUAUAUGAACCUGGAGUCUGGAGUAUAUAGACCAAAUGUAUUAUUCUUAUUAUAAUACGAGGCAAUAUUCUAUGAUCAGUUACAAGAAAUUUGCCUAUAUAUAUAUAUAACAAUAAAUUAGGACUUCAAUGUCAACAUUAUAGGAUAUGUUUAUUACAGUUUAAUUUGUUUUUAAAAUUGAAGUUUGAGUUGUACUCAUGGCCAAUUACAGGAAUAUAUGGUCUUGGACUCUUGGUAUUCACAUGUUUGAUUGUUGGUACUCUUUGUAUACUUUUCUCUUUUUAAGUGUAAGAUUGAUGCUGAG
This 566-nucleotide long non-coding RNA is filed under the name Trifolium pratense (red clover). RNAcentral's name for it is "long non-coding RNA (TPRA_LNC002628)". Lineage: Eukaryota; Viridiplantae; Streptophyta; Magnoliopsida; Fabales; Fabaceae. The record is from RNAcentral.